Molecule: unclassified non-coding RNA, 617 nt
Filed under: Hevea brasiliensis (rubber tree)
Lineage: Eukaryota; Viridiplantae; Streptophyta; Magnoliopsida; Malpighiales; Euphorbiaceae
Source: RNAcentral
GAAACAUCUUUGCCAAACUUCCCUACCUCACUUUAAAAUUACAUUUUGUUCAAACAAAAAUGAAAUCAUCAAAAUUUUCAUCUUCCAUCUAAAAAGCACAAAUACAAGCUUUGAGGUCCACUCACCGACUCCUCUACCUUGACAUCCUCCCUUUGUUACAUUGUCAGUCACGAAGCAUUACUGAGUAUGAGUAAAUGGUCUUUCUUGGAAGCAUACUCACAAGAACAUGAUGUUUUACACAUGACUUCGUCUUCCUCCCAAAAAUACUAAUAAAUAAAGGCUUCAUGUUUCACUCACUAGCUCCAUUAGCUGUAAAUUCAUACAUUAUCUCUUCCAACUCAGAAGAGUAUAAUAAGAACAGCAUUUUCUUCAAAAAAGAACUUAUUAAUAACAACACCAUGUUGUAAAUAUGACCUCAUAAAAGAAACCUGGUUCAGACAAAAAUUGACCAAGAAAUUCCUCCCAAAUCACAAAUCAUACCAUAAUUUGCCUACUCUACACCUCCUGAACUUCUCCACAGAGCACCAUGACAAAAACAUUCAGGUGACUUCCUGCUGCCAAGCAAACCAAACACCUGUCAACCAUUCUACUCAUCUAACUCACAAAUUCCCUUCAAA